This 1453-nucleotide long non-coding RNA is filed under the name Carica papaya (papaya). Its description in RNAcentral is "long non-coding RNA (CPAP_LNC002978)". The stretch from base 694 to 774 matches the Rfam family "Small nucleolar RNA R160". Lineage: Eukaryota; Viridiplantae; Streptophyta; Magnoliopsida; Brassicales; Caricaceae. The record is from RNAcentral.
GGUGCGAAAUUGACUGCUUUUGGCAUUAGCAUUUCUCAAACUUUGUGCAGUUAAUAAGAUGACGCUUCAUAGAGUUUGGUCUUGCCAGUACAAAUGGGAAUGUUAACGUUUUCUGAUUUUCCUAGUAAUGGUGCUGUUUUCUUCUUUCCCCCCCUUCUUUUCUGGAGAAUGGUUUAAUUUUUAAAUCCAAAAGCAAAGCAGAAUGAUGAGAUUAAUUACGUCUUAAUCCAGAUGUCAAAUUUUUUGUUUUUAUUUUGGUCUUUGAAGUUCUCUGACUGCUUUACUCGUUGCUGUAUUUUAGUAAUUGUUUUCCGAGAUGGGCAUGAUUCUCCCCAAUUCUUUCUCAUCUUGAUAUUCAUUUUUGUUGCUGAUAGUCUUUAUUUUUUUUACGCUUGUGAAGUAUGCUGCCAAGAUUUCUAAGCAGACGUGUAUUUUCUUCUUCACGACACCUCUGGUUCUAAUGUUAAGGCAUAAAUCUAGAUCGGCAAAGUAAAAUAACGAAUUUUCUUUAUCUGAAUCCAAUGCGGAACAACUUAAAUCGCAUUGAUCUUCAAAAUUCUCUGAUUGCUUUGCUGCUUGGAGCUAUUUUUGUUUUUUUUAUUCAUUUUUUAAGUGAAGGCUUCUAAGUAUGGUGUCUACUAGUGUCUGCUCCAGAAGUAGCAUCAUUUUUUUCGUCUGUUUGUCACCUGAACAAGCAAAAUGAUGAGAAUCUUUUAUCUGAAUUUGAUGUGGAAGAACUCAUAUCAUACAGGUCUUCAAAGUUCUCUGAUUACUUUGCUGGUUGCGUUAGUGUCAUAGCAUGCAACGAACUAGCUGUAUUCCAAUUUUUUUUCUUUCCUUUCUUUAGAGGGCUUUGAAUCUGCACCAAAAUUUCAUAGUCUGAUAUGUUUUUAUCUUUCAGGCUACACGAGCAUGGUGCAAUAGAAAUCUUCCUCCUUUUUACCAUCCUGGCUAUAUUUGUCAUUUCCAUUGACUUUUGUGGUAAAACUAGGAAGAAGACAUGCUAAUAUUGAUAUUCUAUAAACUUAAUGUUGUUUUUUCAUCAUCUAUAUUCAAUUAUCAUGUGAAUUACAUGAUUUGAUUUUAGUUGGUCUGAUAUGGAUCUCUUUUGUUUGUGUAUUGAACUUCAUUAUCCCAAGUGUCCUGUUGAAUGCCUGCCAUGUGUUCCCUGUUAUCAUAGUCAUUCUUGGUCAUUACAAUAACUCAUUAAUUGGAGCAUAAUUGGAGCAGAACGUAUUACAUAUAAAUAGCUCAAUGAGAAACUCUAGAAAUUUGCUGUAAGGAUCAAACUCCUCAUUCCUUCCUGUUAUAUUUCAUUUCUCCCUUACAGACGGGCCAAGGAUGGUAUCUACUCUUGUUUGGACCUGCUCAAAUGUGAAACAAUUAGCUUGUACGAGAUUUCUUAGUCUGUUAUGCUGUUGCCUUCAGGCUAAACGAGUAUGGUGCAAUAAAA